GUCUCCUGAGUCUCAUUUUUAGCUCCUUUUAAUGUAUUCUGUUAACUCUAUGGUCACUUUAUGGCUCUCACAGGGGAGAUGCUGCAGCAGGUGUUGUGUUGCUUUUUCAUGAAGGACUGACCGAUUGUCACCCGUCCAUGUGUGACCCUGGCAGGCGGUGCUGAUGUUGGCUGUGGCUCGGUGCUGUCAGAAGCUGCUGUAGUGCUUUUUGUUAGCUGUUUUGCCAGAGGGAGACUCAUUUUGUAGCUGACUGGGAACAAAGUGAGGCAGGGUCAGGUUAUUUUCUGUCGAGGGGUAGGGCUGGAGCAGGAACCGGCCAGGCUACAGCCCAAAGCUCCCCCUGCUCACCAGCCAACAACAGGCACUUGAGUCAUCUGUAUCUUCCUGAUACAAUGGACCCUCUUCUUUCUCGGCUGCUUUGGUCACUAGGAAAAGAACAAGUGAGAUGAGCCUUUAGAUAGAUGAUACCGUGUUCCAGCUCUCCCUGCUGGAGUGGUUGCAAAGCUGAGGUCUGUGAAGCAGAGGGAUGGAGCUCCCUGUGGUCUGGUCACUUGGCAGCAUCCACAGCGCUGGGAUACACACAGAGAACCGAGAUGAACUUCCAACAUUCCAGCCAUUCUCCAAGGAGGAAAAUUUGACGUUCCAAGUGUCACAGGCUCGUUCCACCUCUGCCGUACCUUCUCUUCUGCCUUCUCUGAUUCAAGACAGCUCAGGAGAAGAUAAUGAUAUCAGGACAAUUAUGCUGAAGGCCCAUCUGUGAGUUUGAAGUUUAAGUAAGGGUGGGCGCUCUGAUGAUAAUUUGCUUGUUUUUC
Molecule: long non-coding RNA, 812 nt
Filed under: Calidris pugnax (ruff)
Lineage: Eukaryota; Metazoa; Chordata; Aves; Charadriiformes; Scolopacidae
Description: lncRNA (ENSCPUG00000019052.1)
Source: RNAcentral